UACGUAGGUGGCAAGCGUUAUCCGGAUUUAUUGGGCGUAAAGGGAACGCAGGCGGUCUUUUAAGUCUGAUGUGAAAACUCAGGGCUCAACCCUGAGCCUGCAUUUGAAACUGUGUUUCUUGAGUGCUGGAGAGGCAAUCGGAAUUCCGUGUGUAGCGGUGAAAUGCGUAGAUAUACGGAGGAACACCAGUGGCGAAGGCGGAUUGCUGGACAGUAACUGACGCUGAGGCGCGAAAGCGUGGGGAGCAAACAGG
RNAcentral lists this ribosomal RNA (253 nucleotides) under uncultured bacterium. RNAcentral describes it as "partial 16S ribosomal RNA". It matches the Rfam family "Bacterial small subunit ribosomal RNA", at positions 524 to 776 of the family's 1533-position model. The record is from RNAcentral.